This 253-nucleotide ribosomal RNA is filed under the name uncultured bacterium. RNAcentral's name for it is "partial 16S ribosomal RNA". It matches the Rfam family "Bacterial small subunit ribosomal RNA", at positions 524 to 776 of the family's 1533-position model. The record is from RNAcentral.
UACGAAGGGGGCUAGCGUUGCUCGGAAUCACUAGGCGUAAAGGGUGCGUAGGCGGGUUUUUAAGUCAGAGGUGAAAUCCUGGAGCUCAACUCCAGAACUGCCUUUGAUACUGAAAGUCUUGAGUAUGGGAGAGGUGAGUGGAACUGCGAGUGUAGAGGUGAAAUUCGUAGAUAUUCGCAAGAACACCAGUGGCGAAGGCGGCUCGCUGGAACGGUACUGACGCUGAGGCGCGAAAGCGUGGGGAGCAAACAGG